AGUGAACGCUGGCGGUAGGCCUAACACAUGCAAGUCGAACGGCAGCACAGUAAAAGCUUGCUCUUACGGGUGGCGAGUGACGGACGGGUGAGGAAUACAGCGGAAUCUACUUUUUCGUGGGGGAUAACGUAGGGAAACUUACGCUAAUACCUCAUACGACCUACGGGUGAAAGCAGGGGAUCUUCGGACCUUGCGCGAUUGAAUGAGCCGAUGUCGGAUUAGCUAGUUGGCGGGGUAAAGGCCCACCAAGGCGACGAUCCGUAGCUGGUCUGACAGGAUGAUCGGCCACACUGGAACUGGGACACGGUCCAGGCUCCUACGGGAGGCGGCAGUGGGGAAUAUUGGACAAUGGGCGCAAUCCUGCUCCAGCCAUCCCGCGUGGGUGAAGAAGGCCUUCGGGCUGUAAAGCCCUUUUGUUGGGAAAGAAAAGCAGCAGGUUAAUACCCCGCUGUUCUGACGGUACCCAAAGAAUAAGCACCGGCUAACUUCGUG
This 492-nucleotide ribosomal RNA is filed under the name uncultured bacterium. Its description in RNAcentral is "partial 16S ribosomal RNA". It matches the Rfam family "Bacterial small subunit ribosomal RNA", at positions 29 to 507 of the family's 1533-position model. The record is from RNAcentral.